CCAGCCGUAAACGAUGAAUGCUAGGUGUGGGUGUCGCAGGGCAUCCGUGCCGCAGCUAACGCGAUAAGCAUUCCGCCUGGGGAGUACGGUCGCAAGAUUGAAACUCAAAGGAAUUGACGG
This 120-nucleotide ribosomal RNA is filed under the name uncultured bacterium. Its description in RNAcentral is "partial 16S ribosomal RNA". It matches the Rfam family "Bacterial small subunit ribosomal RNA", at positions 796 to 916 of the family's 1533-position model. The record is from RNAcentral.